This 869-nucleotide ribosomal RNA is filed under the name uncultured archaeon. RNAcentral describes it as "bacterial SSU rRNA". It matches the Rfam family "Archaeal small subunit ribosomal RNA", at positions 1 to 878 of the family's 1478-position model. The record is from RNAcentral.
UCUCCGGUUGCUUUGAGGGACCUGACUGCUAUCGGAUUGGUACUAAGCCAUGUGAGUCAUUGUAGCAAUACAAGGCGGACGGCUCAGUAACACGUAGUCAACCUAACUCGUGGACGUGGAUAACCUCGGGAAACUGAGAAUAAACCGCGAUAGAUCAUUAUGCCUGGAAUGGCUUAUGGUUCAAACAAUUUAUUGCCGUAGGAUGGGACUGCGGCCUAUCAGCUUGUUGGUGAGGUAAUGGCCCACCAAGGCUAUAACAGGUACGGGCUCUGAGAGGAGAAGCCCGGAGAUGGGUACUGAGACACGGACCCAGGCCCUAUGGGGCGCAGCAGGCGAGAAACCUUAGCAAUGUGCGAAAGCACGACUGGGUCAGUCCGAGUGAUUUCUGUUGAAGAAAUCUUUUGUCAGUCGUAAAACCACAGACGAAUAAGGGGUGGGCAAGUCUGGUGUCAGCCGCCGCGGUAAUACCAGCACCUCGAGUGGUCAGGAGGUUUAUUGGGCCUAAAGCAUCCGUAGCCGGCUACGCAAGUCUCCGGUUAAAUCCAGCUGCUCAACAGAUGGGCUGCCGGAGAUACUACAUAGCUAGGGAGCGGGAGAGGUAGACGGUAUUCUGUGGGUAGGGGUAAAAUCCACUGAUCCAUAGAGGACCACCAGUGGCGAAGGCGGUCUACCAGAACGCGUUCGACGGUGAGGGAUGAAAGCUGGGGGAGCAAACCGGAUUAGAUACCCGGGUAGUCCCAGCUGUAAACGAUGCAAACUCGGUGAUGCAUUGGCUUAUGGCCAAUGCAGUGCCGCAGGGAAGCCGUUAAGUUUGCCGCCUGGGAAGUACGGACGCAAGUCUGAAACUUAAAGGAAUUGGCGGGGGAGCA